CCUGCCUGCUGGCCGGGCCCUCUGUGUCGCUGGCCUCGCCCAGUCUUCAAUCCAUCAGAUCUCUGGCGGCUGGCGGCCCUGGGUUCCGUGAAGGUGGCCCAGGGGUGGACCUGGGGCAGACGACCUGGAGGGGGCCAAGGGCAAGGGGCCCUGGGGGACGCCCUUCGGGGCUUCAUCUGGAGAGACCUCGUAGGCUGUGCCUUGGGGGGGCCUCAAGGACACCACGCUGUGAAGCAGGCCAGUCACAGAGGACCCACACUGCAGGGCCCCUCCUCGAGGUCACCCAGUUGUCAACUCCACGGGGACAGAAAGUAGCACGUGGAGCCGGGCCGGAGGGUGGGUGCUGGGUUGGAUGGACAGCGUGGGGACGCGAGGAAGCGCUGCAGGUGGAGGUGGUGACCGCAGGGUGGACGGCCCAGCACCCUGAGCUGUGCGCUGGACGUGGUCGAGAUGCUAGAGCAGAACAGGACGCCACCGGCCCCCACUCCAGGAGGGAGAUGACCCCCUUCCCCGCGGGACCUGGGCCAUGGAGGGGCCGCCUGUACCGGGCCUCGGCCACGGGCCUCAGAGCCCAGGACGUCACCUGGGGAAUCCAAGAAGGACUCCGAGACGGCUGUCACUCCUGUUUCACCAUCUGGCAGAUGUGAGACUGUCCCAGCGUGCGGUGAGCCGCUCCUGGCCAUCCGUGGUCCCCGGAUGACCUCCCUGCCCUGCAGAGCCCAGUGCUGCCCCUCGCCCGCGGGGCUGCUGCGUCUCACCUGCUCCCCUGGGGCCAGGCUCCGGGGGCACCCGCGGCCCAGUCCAGCCACCCUCCUGUCCCUGGUGGCCUCCACCUGUCGUCCUGGGCCCCUCCCGACUUCUCCUGCAGGCCAGGCCACCGCCUCAGCCAGGGCUCCCUGUACGUCCUGGGCCAGCCACUGUCAGAGCCCGUUGGUGGCUCAGGGACCAUCCCUGCUGCUGCAGACCCUGCUACUACAGACCAAGCAGGUGCCAGCGUUCACGUGUUGUCACCAGAACCCCGUGUCACGGUACUGCGAGACCUCGGUCAGACACAUCGGGGCGGAGCAGUGGGGUUAGUGCCUCUGAAGGGACCUGGAGAGACAUCUGCCCCCUGUCCCCACCGCAUGGGGGACGGAGGAGGUGGCCGUCUGCCCGCCAGGAAAGCAGCACCUCCGUCUGGGACUCCCAGACUCAGAACGUGAGAACCAAAUUCCCACUGAAGCCCAAGAACCUCCCCCACGCCUGGAUCUGACCUGGGGGCCGGCCGGACGCCGCCUCCCUCCCGGCCCCCCUGCCUGGCCUCUGGCCUGGGCUCCUUCCUCGGGCUGCGACACCUUCUGCUCUCAGUGCCACCGACUCCUCAGCCCCUGGGUCUGGGCUCCCCUCUCCUCCCCGGGGGCAGCCCCCGCCUGGACAGAAGCGGUGGUCCCAGCAGGAGGGGGCCCAGAGGCUGAGCUCCGCCUGGCCCCCCACGGGCCCAACGAGGUGCAGAGCGGCCCCUGCCCUGGGCGAUGGGUGGACGACAGACUGAUUCCUGCCUCCAGGUCGGCUCACCUGGGCGUCCCCGGCAGCCUUGUGCUGAAAAGACCCCAAACCGUCCUAUGUACCGUGAG
This 1613-nucleotide long non-coding RNA is filed under the name Marmota monax (woodchuck). Lineage: Eukaryota; Metazoa; Chordata; Mammalia; Rodentia; Sciuridae. The record is from RNAcentral.